AAAUUGAAGAGUUUGAUCAUGGCUCAGAUUGAACGCUGGCGGCAGGCUUAACACAUGCAAGUCGAGCGGUAGCACAGAGAGCUUGCUCUCGGGUGACGAGCGGCGGACGGGUGAGUAAUGUCUGGGAAACUGCCUGAUGGAGGGGGAUAACUACUGGAAACGGUAGCUAAUACCGCAUAAUGUCGCAAGACCAAAGUGGGGGACCUUCGGGCCUCAUGCCAUCAGAUGUGCCC
This 233-nucleotide ribosomal RNA is filed under the name Acinetobacter baumannii. RNAcentral describes it as "partial 16S ribosomal RNA". It matches the Rfam family "Bacterial small subunit ribosomal RNA", at positions 1 to 232 of the family's 1533-position model. The record is from RNAcentral. Lineage: Bacteria; Pseudomonadati; Pseudomonadota; Gammaproteobacteria; Moraxellales; Moraxellaceae.